Long non-coding RNA from Xenopus laevis (African clawed frog), 2159 nucleotides. RefSeq lists it as uncharacterized. The record is from RefSeq and is a predicted model, not a curated record. NCBI's taxonomy places the organism in Eukaryota, Metazoa, Chordata, Amphibia, Anura, Pipidae. The transcript has 2 exons.
CGAAAUUUAUUGUAAAAAUUUUUGAUGUUACUGGUCCUUUAAGGUGAAAGAAAAAAAUGAUUUCUGCUACUUCUCAAAAAGUUCAGAUGAAAUCCCCCUACUUAAACUGGCCAUAGAUUCAAAGAUCCGAUCGUUCAAAUCCACAAACUAAUGGACUUCCCCCAUAUCUCGACCUGCCACUAACCAUUCCGAUCAAAUAAAGUAGUAAAAGAACAGAUCAGCCGAUGUUCUGCCCCUGACAGCAAUCGUACGAAAGCUGGUGACAGUCUCCCACUGAAAAUCGUCAGAUCGGCAAUACAUGCAGAGAUAUUAUCAGCAGCCGACAGAAAUCUUUUAACCUGGCCGAUCGACCAAACGACUGAUCUCCAUGGGAUGAAAAAUGUCGGUACUCUCCCCAAAAGGUCCGAAAAUCAGACUUAUACUCGAAUCAUACAAUCGGAUCUUUGCGUCUAUGGCCAGCUUUAGUCCCAAGCUGCAAACCUAAUUAUCCAAUCUUCUUGGUAUCUGGGAUUUUUGUCCCAGAUAGGGGGUCUUCCUCUCAUGUUGCGUGCAUACAUUAAAGGGAUACUGUUAUGGGGAAAAAAUUGACAAUAUGUCUAGCCCCAUGUCAGAUUUCAAAAUUGAAUAUAAAAAAAUCUGUUUGCUCUUUUGAGAAAUGGAUCUCAGUGCAGAAUUCUGCUGGAGCAGCACUAUUAACUGAUUCAUUUUGAUAAACAUUUUUUUUCCCAUGACAGUAUCCCUUUAAAGUAAUACAGACACACAAAAAAUGACUCUUCAAAGUAUAAGUUACCUUAAGGUCAUAUUGAUCAUUUGACUGACACAUCUGCUUUAGUAAGUAAUUGGUACUUGAAGCUAUACCUAACAGCUAUAGUUUCCUACUCUAUGCUAAUUGAAUUUUGCUACACAAAUAUGCAGAGGUACAUGGGGGAUCAGACAGGUAAUGUAAAAGCAUUGGGCAAAUACUUUUAUGGCAACAUUGUGAAUAGCAUGCGAAAACAAUGUUAUGAUAAAUGUAAAAGAAAAUUAUUUUCUAAAGUCAGUAUCUCUUUAAGGUGCCUUAAAAAUCCUAAUACUAAAAUCACCCUGCCAUCAACUGCUAACUACGUUAUCUGUCCAGGUACAAUGACACUUUGGUUACUUUGGAUCUUAAGGCUCAGACAAAGUAGGAGGUCUACGGGACUAAUCACUCCUACACGUCGGCAGGACAAUAUUCUUUGUACUACUCCACACGUCUGACACUAUCUUGACCUUCAAAGAAAGUAAUCUUUGGUGUUAGCCAAAAAAGAAAUCUUAUCCUUGCCGUACUCUGAUUGGGGUACCCCAAUAAGAACAACCUUCUCAGUGCAAGAUUGAGCAAGGAAGCACACUAUAACCAGUAUUCUUCGACCAAGGAAACCAUUUUUAAAUUCAUGCUCCCAAAGCAAGUACAGGCUUAAUUCUAAUCUUGUUUAGCUUUUUUGCAUGGAUGUCCUAUAGAUAAAAGGGCACAUUGCCCCUGUGUUGACUGGCUGUUCCUGUUCUACUUUGUGAGGAUCACAAAGCCCAAAUUAAGUUGUAGGGUCAUUAGAGGACUAAAGUUUUCAGCUUGGUCCUAAACAUUAUAACCUCCACCAUUUCUGAUGUUUUGUUGCUAGGUGUCCUGUGUAAGGUAUCAUAGAUCAGUAAUAUUGAAACCAGAUGCAUAUUUUAUUGCUUUCAUAGGUGAAGAAUUUGAAUUUAACAUUGUGUAUAUUGCAAAGUAUAUUUCUUGUGUUCUGCAUUCCAUAACACAGGGAUCAAAAUCCCCUUUUUUUUGAAGACAACUAUUAGAUGCUUUAUUUUUCUAAAAGAAAAUGCUUAUUAUGGUAUGCCUUCUAAGGCAACUUUCAGCUACAUAUUGAUAUGUUCAUAUUUGUUUACUGAUUGUUAGACACCAUGAAGUUUAUGCUGAUGUUCUGCAGUUUUAUUAUUGUUUUCUAGCAGCCAACACAUUCCAGAGGUAUUGUGUUAUGGGAGAUGAAAGGCAGUAACACAAUGUUCUGUGUGCUUCUCGUAUCUGGAUUCUCACAAAAUCUAGUUAGGUGGCGUUUGUACUCCUUUCAAAUGGUUUGGUUCUGUUUUGAAUAAUCUGCUUGACUCACAUCGACCUGCCAAAUUAAUAAACUACAAUGAUUUACGGA